UUACCAAGGCGAUGAUGCAUAGCCCGAGUUGAGAGACUGAUCGGGCCACAUUGGGGACUGAGACACGGGACCCAAAACUCCUACGGGGAGGCAGCAGUAGGGAAUCUUCCACAAUGGACGAAAAGUCUGAUGGAGCAACGCCGCGUGAGUGAAGAAGGUUUUCGGAUCGUAAAAGCUCUGUUGUUGGUGAAGAAGGAUAGAGGUAGUAACUGGCCUUUAUUUGACGGUAAUCAACCAGAAAGUCACGGCUAACUACGUGCCAGCAGCCGCGGUAAU
RNAcentral lists this ribosomal RNA (276 nucleotides) under uncultured Lactobacillus sp. RNAcentral's name for it is "partial 16S ribosomal RNA". It matches the Rfam family "Bacterial small subunit ribosomal RNA", at positions 265 to 524 of the family's 1533-position model. Lineage: Bacteria; Bacillati; Bacillota; Bacilli; Lactobacillales; Lactobacillaceae. The record is from RNAcentral.